RNAcentral lists this transfer RNA (20 nucleotides) under Rubus crataegifolius. RNAcentral describes it as "partial tRNA-Phe". The record is from RNAcentral. Lineage: Eukaryota; Viridiplantae; Streptophyta; Magnoliopsida; Rosales; Rosaceae.
GAUGAUGCGUCGUGAAUGGU